UACAGAGGGUGCGAGCGUUGUCCGGAAUCACUGGGCGUAAAGGGCGCGUAGGCGGUCAGCACAAGUCAGUUGUGAAAUCUCCGGGCUUAACUCGGAAAGGUCAACUGAUACUGUGCGACUAGAGUGCAGAAGGGGCAACUGGAAUUCUCGGUGUAGCGGUGAAAUGCGUAGAUAUCGAGAGGAACACCUGCGGCGAAGGCGGGUUGCUGGGCUGACACUGACGCUGAUGCGCGAAAGCCAGGGGAGCGAACGGG
This 254-nucleotide ribosomal RNA is filed under the name uncultured bacterium. RNAcentral's name for it is "partial 16S ribosomal RNA". It matches the Rfam family "Bacterial small subunit ribosomal RNA", at positions 524 to 776 of the family's 1533-position model. The record is from RNAcentral.